RNAcentral lists this ribosomal RNA (253 nucleotides) under uncultured bacterium. Its description in RNAcentral is "partial 16S ribosomal RNA". It matches the Rfam family "Bacterial small subunit ribosomal RNA", at positions 524 to 776 of the family's 1533-position model. The record is from RNAcentral.
UACAGAGGUCUCAAGCGUUGUUCGGAAUCACUGGGCGUAAAGGGUGCGUAGGCUGCGCCGUAAGUCAGAUGUGAAAGCUCAGGGCUCAACCCUGAAAUUGCAUCCGAUACUGCGGUGCUUGAGAAAUGAAGGGGAGUCUAGAAUUUUCGGUGUAGCAGUGAAAUGCGUAGAUAUCGAAAGGAAUACCAAAGGCGAAGGCAGGGCUCUGGGCAUUUUCUGACGCUGAUGCACGAAGGCCAGGGUAGCGAACGGG